This 253-nucleotide ribosomal RNA is filed under the name uncultured bacterium. RNAcentral describes it as "partial 16S ribosomal RNA". It matches the Rfam family "Bacterial small subunit ribosomal RNA", at positions 524 to 776 of the family's 1533-position model. The record is from RNAcentral.
UACAGAGGUGGCAAGCGUUGUUCGGAAUUACUGGGCGUAAAGGGCGCGUAGGCGGUCCGAUAAGUCCUGUGUGAAAUCCCUCGGCUCAACUGAGGAACUGCACGGGAGACUGUCGGGCUUGAGUUCGGGAGAGGGUAGCAGAAUUCAUGGUGUAGCAGUGAAAUGCGUAGAUAUCAUGAGGAAUACCAGAGGCGAAGGCGGCUACCUGGACAAUUGCUGACGCUCAGGCACGAAAGCGUGGGGAGCAAAAGGG